RNAcentral lists this ribosomal RNA (520 nucleotides) under uncultured bacterium. RNAcentral describes it as "bacterial SSU rRNA". It matches the Rfam family "Bacterial small subunit ribosomal RNA", at positions 18 to 518 of the family's 1533-position model. The record is from RNAcentral.
CCUGGCUUAGGACGAACGCUGGCGGCGUGCCUAAUACAUGCAAGUCGAGCGAAUGAUUAGAGAAGCUUGCUUCUCUCUGAUUAGCGGCGGACGGGUGAGUAACACGUGGGUAACCUACCCUAUAGACUGGGAUAACUUCGGGAAACCGGAGCUAAUACCGGAUAAUACUUCGAAACACAUGUUUUGAAGUUGAAAGAUGGUUUCGGCUAUCACUAUAGGAUGGACCCGCGGCGCAUUAGCUAGUUGGUGAGGUAACGGCUCACCAAGGCAACGAUGCGUAGCCGACCUGAGAGGGUGAUCGGCCACACUGGGACUGAGACACGGCCCAGACUCCUACGGGAGGCAGCAGUAGGGAAUCUUCCACAAUGGACGAAAGUCUGAUGGAGCAACGCCGCGUGAGUGAAGAAGGAUUUCGGUUCGUAAAACUCUGUUGCAAGGGAAGAACAAGUAGCGUAGUAACUGGCGCUACCUUGACGGUACCUUGUUAGAAAGCCACGGCUAACUACGUGCCAGCCGCUGC